UUGUGCCGAUGGGACCACAAGGGACCUGCAACUGCUUCCCAGCAUCCAAAGCCUCCAUGGAAAAAGUGUCUUUGCUGUGCUGUAUCCUUCUGUCCUGAUGCUUCUGCCUUGGAACUGAUGACUAUGGACUGCACCCCCCAGUACUAUACUUGACAAAUCAAUCGCCAAUUGCUGAGACAAAGAAUGAAUGAAAAACAGCAAAUGCCUGUAUUGGGGGAAAGCAAAGGAUGGAGGAAAAAGGGUGAGCUGUUGGGCUGGAGUUCCUAUGAGACGUCAGUUUGAGUUGUCCAGUAGGCAUUUGUCUGGAUAGCUCUGUGACUCAAAUCUGAACUCUGUCAUGCCUAGUUAGAAAGCCAGCUUUAUAAUCAGGUCAAAGAAACCAAAAAAUAUUUGACCACUUUUAAGGAAUAAAUACUA
Fukomys damarensis (Damara mole-rat) is the source of this 417-nucleotide long non-coding RNA. RefSeq lists it as uncharacterized. The transcript has 3 exons. NCBI's taxonomy places the organism in Eukaryota, Metazoa, Chordata, Mammalia, Rodentia, Bathyergidae. The record is from RefSeq and is a predicted model, not a curated record.